Molecule: non-coding RNA, 26757 nt
Organism: Podarcis lilfordi (Lilford's wall lizard)
Lineage: Eukaryota; Metazoa; Chordata; Lepidosauria; Squamata; Lacertidae
Source: the annotation of a GenBank genome assembly
AUGUCAGAAGGUUCCAAUAAGCUGUUGACAGUUGGGAGCUGAGAUGACCCAAGCUUUCUCCUGACAAAGGAGACUGCUCUAUGGUUGUAUUCUAACAAUAAUUUAACUUGGAACAGUUGCUGGGGCGAUAGAACUAGAAUUCUGUUUCCUGCUGAAUCAGAAAAAAAGUCAAUUGUUGUUGUUUUGUUGGCACUAGUAGGCUGGCUCUAUUCAGAUCUUCUGGCUUCCGAUGUUAUGAUUCCAAGGGUUGUAGAUAAAAUGAAGGGGGGGGGGAGAUGAGUUUCCCAGCUCUUUCCGCUCCUCCUUUGGUAUUACUGGUUUAUUUUGGGCUGUUCUGUAUUAACGUAGCUCUUCCCCAGGCCUAUAGGACCUCCCCAUUGCUGUUGUGAUUCAAAUUACAUGUCCCUGCCUUCUCUAAGUGGUAGGCUGUGUGAGUCCAUCAUUAUCUGGACUGGGGGGGGGGAGAACAUUCAUAGUCAGCCCCCCCCCAAAAAAAGCAUCAUGGGAGCUGUAGUUUACCCCACAGGUCAAAUUUCCAGCACCCUUAAGAAACCACAGUUCCCCAGAUUCUUUGGGCUUUUUUGGGGGGUGUCUUUAAAGUGAUGGAUCAUUUUCACUCCUCACACUAAGAAGAAGAAGAGUUUGGAUUUGAUAUCCCGCUUUAUCACUACCCGAAGGAGUCUCAAAGCGGCUAACAUUCUCCUUUCCCUUCCUCCCCCACAACAAACACUCUGUGAGGUGAGUGGGGCUGAGAGACUUCAGAGAAGUGUGACUAGCUCAAGGUCACCCAGCAGCUACAUGUGGAGGAGUGGAGACGCGAACCCGGUUCCCCAGAUUACGAGUCUAUCGCACUUAACUGCUACACCACACUGGCUCUCACUAGGGAUUUAUGCAUAUGCUUCAGUCCGAACCACUAUUCUUUCACACUUUCACCUGACAUUUCCUGUUAUUCUGCUACUGGUUUACUUUACACAAUUCUGUGUUCUGCUUUAUCAUCUACCGAUGCAGAAACAUUCAUUUAUCUUUCACGUAGCACAAAAUAGGCACACGUAUCCACCAUCAGAUAUUGUCAACAGGAAGGGAACAUUUGGGUGAAAUUCUCGUAGAGAUGUUCCUACAGUUUCCUUACCUUUGAAAUGGCUAAAUACAUUUGCAAGUGCUCUUUCAUUCUACAAAAUAUCUCACCAGUGGUUUGCACCAUGUAGCCUUCCCAGUUCGCCCAUGCUUGAAUUAACUCCCAGGGGAAGACAUCAUGAGGUAACUGCCACGUUGUCUUCUCACAUCAGAAAGCUUGGGUUGAACAGCAACAAUAAAGUAUGCUAAAAAAGAAAGAAAAGAAAACCAAACACCCACAGAAAUUCUGGAUAAAUGCUUAAGUGCCAUGAGAAUGGAAGAAAAAAAUAACACUCUGGAGAAAUUGGAGGACAUCUUUCAAAACCUCAUCAGGAGGGCUUUAAACUGACUAAUGUGGGGGAGGGAGAGAAACUAGGGUUCCAGGUGGAGAAAUCGAAAUUAGAAACAGAAUUGUUAGAACCAAAGACUAAGAUACUUUCAAGGAUGUAUAACUUGCUGUUGGAAUGGAAUACACAAGAUGAAAUGGUUAAAUCGGCUAUGAUAAGGUGGGCACAGGAUAUUGGGCAUAAUAUUAUGUUUGAGGACUGGGAAAGGCUGUGGAGUAAUGGAUUGAAAUUUACUGCAUGUAAUGCUUUGAAAGAAAAUGUAAUGAAAAUGAUUUAUAGAUGGUAUAUGACCCCAGUCAAACUCGCAAAAAUUUACCACCUGUCUGACAACAAGUGCUGGAAAUGUAAAGAGUGUGAAGGAACGUUCUUUCACCUCUGGUGGACCUGCCCUAAAGUGAAGGCGUUCUGGGAAAUGAUUUAUAAUGAAUUGAAAAAGGUAUUUAAAUAUACUUUCACUAAGAAACCAGAGGCUUUCCUUUUGGGUAUUGUCAGCCAAGGGGUGGCAAAGAAGGACCAAACAUUUUUAUGUAUGCAACAACAGCAGCAAGGAUACUACUCGCAAAACAUUGGAAAACUCAAGAUCUACCCACACUGGAAGAAUGGCAGAUGCAACUGAUAGACUAUAUGCAACUGGCUGAAAUGACUGGCAGAAUCCGUGACCUGGGAGAAGAGAGAAUCGAGGAGGAUUGGAAGAAAUUUAAGAACUACCUACAAAAACAUUGUGAUUUGACUGAAUGCUGAAUAAGAUGCUUGACUAAAUAACUGAGCACCACUUAACUUAGAAGUUUUUAAGAAAAUAAGAAAAAUUGUGAAAGUUUAACUCUUUAUGAGAACUAUAAGAUCAUGAAAUAUCGAAGAGAUAUAAGAAUUUAAAUAAGAUGAUAAAUUGCUGACAAAAUGUUAUAAUGAUGAAGGUGGGAGCGGGAGAUGUGAGGAAGUCCAAAGAAAAUGUGAAAUUAUGUUAAGACGAAUGUUAUAUUGUUUAUUACAUUUAUUCCUAUUGUAAAAUCCAAUAAAUUGCUUUAAAAAAAAAAAAAAAAUGUGGGGGAGGGAGACAGUGCUCCUGAAGGUAGGAGUCUAUCAAUUGAUGAAGAUGAUCAUCCAAAUGUCAUAGACCAAAUGGAGCAAACAGCAUGCAGACCUAGUGGUGGGAGGAAAAAAUCCUUAAAUAAGAGUCACGGGGGGAUGAUUAAUGGACUUCAAUGUCUGUACACUAAUGCGCAAAGCAUGAGAAAUAAACAAGAUGAGCUUGAGCUCUUGGUACAGCAAACUAAAUAUGACGUAAUAGGCAUCACUGAAACCUGGUGGGAUAAGUCCCACGAUUGGAAUGUAAUAAUGGAGGAAUACAAUCUAUUUCAGAGAAACAGACCAGACAAGAAAGGAGGAGGAGUGGCGUUAUAUGUCAGGGAUGUGUAUACCUGUGAAGAGAUCCAAGAUUUAGAACCUCAAAGCCAAAGUGAGAGCAUUUGGGUCAAAAUUAAGGGGAGAAGAAUAACAGUGACCUCAUUGUGGGAGUUUACUAUAGAUCCCCAAGCCAAACGGAGGACAUAGAUGAUGCCUUCCUGGAACAGAUGGCCAAGCAUGCAAAAGGAAGGGAGAUAGUAGUAAUGGGGGACUUCAAUUACCCAGAUAUUUGUUGGAUGUCAAACUCAGCCAAGAGCAUAAGGUCAAACAGAUCCCUCACUGGCCUUGCAGACAACUUCAUUGUCCAGAAGGUGGAAGAAGCAACAAGAGGAACAGCCAUUUUAGAUCAGGUCCUAACCAAUGUUGAUGACCUGGUUAGUGGGGUAGAAGUGGAAGGAUCAUUAGGCGCGAGUGAUCAUGCUCUUCUGAAGUUUACUAUACAGCGGAAAGGAGCAGCCAAGCAUACUAGGACUCAAUUUCUUGACUUUAAGAAAGCCGACUUCAUAAAACUUAGGGAAGUGCUGGGUGAGAUCCCAUGGACAGUAAUACUAAAAGGAAAAGGAGUUCAUGAUGGCUGGGAGUUCGUUAAGAGGGAGAUAGUAAAAGCACAACGUCAGGCAAUACCAAUGAGACGGAAACAUGGAAGGUGCCUAAAGAAGCCAAGGUGGCUAUCUAAAGAACUUUCAACUGAGUUAAGAUUAAAAAAGGAUGUGUACACAAAAUGGAAAAGGGGGGAAACCACUAAAGAGGAAUUCAAACAAAUAGCCAGCACGUGUAGACACAAAGUCAGAAAAGCUAAAGCACAGAAUGAACUCAGGCUUGCUAGAGAGGUUAAAAGCAACAAAAAAGGCUUUUAUGGGUAUGUUCGUAGCAAAAGGAAGAACAAAGAAACAGUGGGGUCACUCAGAGGAGAAGAUGGUGAAAUGCAAACAGGGGACACAGAAAGGGCUGAACUCCUCAAUGCCUUCUUUGCCUCAGUCUUCUCCGAUAAAGAAAACAAUGCCCGACCUGAAGAAUUUGGAGCAAAUGAUUCAGCAGAGGAAACACAGCCCAGAAUAAUUAAGGAGAUAGUACAAGAAUACUUGACUAGUCUAGAUGUAUUCAAGUCUCCAGGGCCAGAUGAACUUUAUCCAAGAGUAUUAAAAGAACUGGCAGAUGUGAUCUCAGAACCACUGGCAGUCCUCUUUGAGAAUUCCUGGAGAACAGGCGAAGUCCCGGCAGACUGGAGGAGGGCAAAUGUUGUCCCUAUUUUCAAAAAGGGGAAAAGAGAGGACCCAAAUAAUUACCGCCCAGUCAGUCUGACAUCAAUACCAGGGAAGAUUCUGGGGCAGAUCUUCUGGGAGAUGAUCUAUAACGAAAUGAAAAAGGUAUUUAAAUAUACCUUUCUGAAGAAACCAGAGGCCUUUCUCCUGGGCAUAGUCGGCCAAUUGGUGUUAAAGAAGGAUAGAACUUUAUUUAUGUAUGCCACAACAGCAGCAAGAAUACUUAUUGCAAAGUAUUGGAAGACACAAGACCUACCCACUCUGGAAGAAUGGCAGAUGAAGGUGAUGGACUACAUGGAAUUGGCGGGAAUGACUGGCAGAAUCCGAGACCAGGGAGAAGAGUCGGUGGAAGAAGAUUGGAAGAAAUUUAAAGACUAUUUACAGAAAUAUUGCAAAAUUAAUGAAUGUUAGAAUGAUGUUAGAAUGAAGUUAGGUGGUUUAAGCAGUAAUGCUAUAAAGGUGUAUGAAAAAAUGGAUUGAUAACAGGUGAAAAUUCAAAGCUAUAGUAUAUUAAGUUAAAGGAUUAAGAGAAAAUAAAGAGGGAAAGAAAUUGCUGAAUUAACUAACUGAACUGGAAUACAAAAAAGGGAGGUAUGAGGAGGUCAGGGAAACAAGGAUAUGAAUGUAAGGUAUGGAAAGAUGGAUGUAUUUUUUUAAAGUGUUUUUCAUUCUUUUAUUCUGUAUUUUGUAUUUUUCCUGUAUUUUUACUUCUGUUUAUUGUUUUUGUUUUAUUUGUUUUUUUUCUCCUUUUCUUUAUUUAUGUAAUUCCUCUUUUUGAAAUUUUAAUAAAUAUCAUUUUUUUUAAAAAAAAAAAAAAGAUUCUGGAGCAGAUCAUUAAGCAAACAGUCUGUGAGCACCUAGAAAGGAAUGCUGUGAUCACCAAUAGUCAGCAUGAAUUUCUGAAAAAUAAGUCAUGUCAGACUAACCUGAUCUCGUUUUUUGACAGAAUUACAAGCCUGGUAGAUGAAGGGAAUGCAGUGGAUGUAGCCUACCUUGAUUUCAGCAAGGCAGUUGACAAGGUGCCCGAUGAUAUUCUUGUAAAGAAGCUGGUAAAAUGCGGUCUUGACUAUGCUACCACUCAGUGGAUUUGUAACUGGCUGACGGACCGAACCCAAAGGGUGCUCAUCAAUGGUUCCUCUUCAUCCUGGAGAAGAGUGACUAGUGGGGUGCCACAGGGUUCUGUCUUGGGCCCAGUCUUAUUCAACAUCUUUAUCAAUGACUUGGAUGAUGGACUCAAGGGCAUCCUGAUCCAAUUUGCAGAUGACACCAAACUGGGAGGGGUGGCUAACACCCCAGAGGACAGGAUCACACUUCAAAACGACCUUGACAGAUUAGAGAACUGGGCCAAAACAAACAAGAUGAAUUUUAACAGGGAGAAAUGUAAAGUAUUGCACUUGGGCAAAAAAAUGAGAGGCACAAAUACAAGAUGGGUGACACCUGGCUUGAGAGCAGUACAUGUGAAAAGGAUCUAGGAGUCUUGGUUGACCACAAACUUGACAUGAGCCAACAGUGUGACGCGGCAGCUAAAAAGCCAAUGCAAUUCUGGGCUGCAUCAAUAGGACUAUAGCAUCUAGAUCAAGGGAAGUAAUAGUGCCACUGUAUUCUGCUCUGGUCAGACCUCACCUGGAGUACUGUGUCCAGUUCUGGGCACCACAGUUCAAGAAAGACACUGACAAACUGGAACGUGUCCAGAAGAGGGCAACCAAAAUGGUCAAAGGCCUGGAAACGAUGCCUUAUGAGGAACGGCUAAGGGAGCUGGGCAUGUUUAGCCUGGAGAAGAGGAGGUUAAGGGGUGAUAUGAUAGCCAUGUUCAAAUAUAUAAAAGGAUGUCACAUAGAGAAGGGAGAAAGGUUGUUUUCUGCUGCUCCAGAGAAGCGGACACGGAGCAAUGGAUCCAAACUACAAGAAAGAAGAUUCCACCUAAACAUUAGGAAGAACUUCCUGACAGUAAGAGCUGUUUGACAGUGGAAUUUGCUGCCAAGGAGUGUGGUGGAGUCUCCUUCUUUGGAGGUCUUUAAGCAGAGGCUUGACAACCAUAUGUCAGGAGUGCUCUGAUGGUGUUUCCUGCUUGGCAGGGGGUUGGACUCGAUGGCCCUUGGGGUCUCUUCCAACUCUAUGAUUCUAUGACUUAGAAAAGUCAGGUGUAUUUGUGCCAAUAUGGCUUCCAUUUAUUGAAUAAGCAAAUACUGAUACUUCUCUGCCCAGAUCCCCUUCUUCUCAAUCAAAAUGCAGGAAUAAUGCCUUGGAAGAGGCAAUCCUAUCAAUACAGAUUUUCAAUUAGUAUUUCAAAGAAUUCCAUCCUAGCAUAAGAACUGAAGUAUUCUCAAAGGAGCUCCAUAGUUUUAAAUGUGAAAUGUUCAAUGGUCCAUAAGAUAUAAUAUUUGAAUACAGCACUUUCAGGCGUGUUCCUGAGAUUAUACUGCAAUUCUAACGACGACACUGGAAGAUCAGUCAUUAUUAUCCCCAUGAAGGUGUUAAGGCAGGGGUCAGGGUGGGGAGGCUGAGUGAACCACCUAGUGUUAUUCAGGUAUAGCUCGAUGAGAUCUGAAUGGGUGCCUUCAUUAUCCAUCACUCAGUCUUUUUGCCACUAUGCUAUUCUUGCCUUCUCACACCAGUAAUUAAUCCACAUUAAAUGAUUGUGAGAGUACGAUUCUAAACCAGUCUCCUUUGUACACAAUGAUUAUACAUCAUCUUGGUUCUCAACUGUCAACAGUUUCUUCUAGAAUCUUCCAACAUCUUUCCCCAAUUGGCUCCCGCAGCACUGCUAAGAGUUCUAUUUGCCUUAUUUCAAAAGAAUUUAGGGUGUGGCUCAAUUAUUCUUCAACUCGCUGGUAAUAGAAAACGACAGUAAGUUUGAAUGUUUUUUGCCUGCUCACUCUCAAAUAUUUCUAUCAAAACUCCCCUGCAGAGGUUGUUGUGACUACCACCAGACAGAUUUCAACUCUACCCAUUUCUGUGGGUCUUUAUAUUUUGAAGCCUGUCCCAAGAGGUCUGGAUGUAGGAUAUGACCAGACUGUGGUAUGUCAGGGACUGGGCAGAGGAGGAAUGGUGGAGACUGCCUCCUCGUCCUGACCCUUUCAGGGAGGAGGAACAGGAAGACAGUAUAGAUUUACAACAGGGGUUUGAGGGAGGUCGCAGCUCAGAGGCAGAUGAGGGAGAAAGCUGUGAAAUCAUAGGAGAGCUGGAACAACACCCAACUGGCAUGUUGUCAUUAGAAAGCAUUCCAUACCCUCCAUCUCCCGGAACCUGGCGAGCCUUAAAAGUAGGAGAGCAAAGAGUUCAAAGACAGAGAUCAUGUAGCAGCACCUGUAGAAGUGACGAAUGAGGAAGUGGGAGAGAUGGGGUCAAUGCCAUUAUCCAAGAUGCUGGGUUUUACAGCUUUUCUCUGUAAAGAUUGAAAUAAAAAAGGAUGGUAAGAAACUUUUCCUUGUCUUUAUGCUUUCCUGGGCCACCAGCUGGGAGCUGCGGACAGCAUCCUGACAGUAUAGCUUCAUUAUACAUGGGGGAGAGGCUUUGGGUGGAAUCUAUUUAAACCUACCCUGCCCACUUUCUGAACACUUUGCAUUCUGGAGCAUUUCUUGGUGUUUCCUGUUUUUGUCCCCCCCCCCCCCCAGAAGACAGAGGAGUGUGUCUGCCAUGGAUUGGGCAUGGUUUCUAUGUCCCCCCAUUUUCAUUUCUGCUUGGUAUUUUGGACUUGCCAUUUGUUAAUUUGGGGUUUUCUACGAUAUUUAAGGUUUCUAGGAUGGCAUACCCUCCAACUUCUUGGGUCCCAAAAUAGAUUCCAGCUGUUAAGGAGGGUGCCAUCCCAUUUGGUGAGAUGUUCAACUCUUUGAGAAUGCAUAUCCAAGAUAAGAAGAAAAUGAUGUAGAGGGGAGAAUGCAUAAAGGCCUUUCUUCACCCAGGCCUUUGGCUAAUUAAACAAUCUACGGACGUAAUCAAGAACACUGGCAAUAGCAGCACAUGAACUCUCUACAGCUUCGGGCUUUGUUGAAAUGUUCAAAUAAUCAGUGUUCAAGGACCAAAGCAAUUUCUUCCCACGAUAUUUAAACUAACAAAAGAUGUGGUGAUAGCCACUGGGGUAGUGGCAAAUUAGUGUGGGAGACCCCCAUAACCACCCUCCUAGGCAUGUCCAAAAAUGUAGGCUUCUCCACUUCCCUUCCACUAUACCAUUGAGAGAGGGGGGUCUGGGGAUUAGGAAGCUCGUGGAGGAGACCAGGUCUAUCAGUGACUGCUAGCCUUAAUGCAUAAAUGGAAAAAAACUUUAGAGCAGGGAAAUUUUGCAAGACACAAACAAAAACAGAGCCGGUCUUACACUUCCAUGCCUUGAUUGUAACCUUUGUGCAGAUAUCUCGCAGGCUGCUGCUGGAAUUGCAAUGCUGUACUUCUUAAGUAAGUUGAAAUAGUUACUUAUGUUCUGUCAACAGCACUCUCUUAUUCUCUAACAGGUCAGCCAUUUCCCCCGACUCUCAGAAAGAAACCAUGAAGAAAACGCAGGUGGCAUCCAAAGUGUCAAGAAAGCCCAAAACACCCAGAGCACACAAAGCACACAAAACACCCAAAGCACCCAAUGAACCCAGUGAACCCAAUGAAUCCAAAGAACCCAGUGAACUCAGUGAACUCAGUGCACCCAUUGCACCCCUUGCACCAACCAGUCGUGAGGUGAGCUUGAAGAAUCUGUGGAAUCCACUGAGUUUAUAAAAACUGAAAACCCAUGUUGUUAUGUAAUUGUUUCCCAAGGUUCAGACAGGGAUGUAAACCAAUUGUACGAUAUAGCAUACAGUACUUUGGGUGGCAUUCAGACUUCCGGAGCAAUCCAAAACCAAGCAGAGUAGCAGUAGGGCAAGAUGAAGCCGCCUAGUUCCUCCAUCAAUGCUGGCUGGAUCAGAAGGCUGGGGGAAGGAAAAAGCCUGCUCUGCGUUACCCCACCCUCAGGGCCGGAUUUAGAUUCAGUGAGACCCUAAGCUACUGAAGGUAAUGGGGCCCUUUAUAUGUCCAGCUGUCCUUUGUCAACAACAAACUGCUGCUGUUUUUUGUGUUGAAUAUAUGCUAUAUGGUAAUUUAUGGACCUAAUAUGUAUCUAAAGACAUUUGCACAUAACAGAAUAUGUAUUUUAUCCAAGUAAUUGUUGAACUGAAAUACAAUUAAGCAGAAAUAUAAUUAUAAUAUUUAUAUAUAGUAUUAUAGUAGUAAGUGAGGGUAAUAGGGAACUGUACUAGUAAAUAAUAAUAUAGGCCUACUAAAUAAUAAAGAUGAAUAUUUUUUCUAAAGUAAUUUUAUAAUGGGAUCAAAAUAAAUAAAUUAUGUAUUACAUUGAAUCAAUCAGUAGGCAUAAGACUCAUACCCUUAGUCUAUGCUGCCUGAUCAUCAGUCUACAAGCACUUUUUAAUAUUAGAUAACAGGUACAACAGCUUGAUCUACAUUCAACUGUGCUGCACUGCAGUCUGCAGCUGCAUACUACCUGUUGCCAUGCGACCAGACCCUGCAGAAUGUAGGCACCCUAUAUAUAGACAUGAGCAAACUGGUGAUAUUUUAGGGAGCAGGCUAGCAGGCGGGGCUCAUUACUUACAUCAUAGGAGCUUACACAACACAAAACACUGUUGCUGUAUGUAGGUUUUGUUUUAUUUGUUUUCCCCCGCCCCCUUAUAUUUUGGAAAUGUACAUCCAGUUGUUUUUCCCUUUACAUUUUUUUGGGGGGGCCCAAGAGAGUGGGGCCCUAAGCUAUAGCUUGUUUAGCUUAUACAUAAAUCUGGCACUGCCCACCCUGGAGAUAACUUGGCAUGUGGGCAUAGAUGCCAUCAAGCGACAGCAGUAGGGCCAGCAUGGAUUUCAGUGGAUGCUGAACCAUCUCAUCCCCCUUCUCACCUACACUCAGCAAGGAUCCCACCAAUUUUGCUUCCACCUGGCCACAGUGAAUGGAACGGAAAGCUGUGCAGCAGCAGGGCAAGGCUUGCAGAGAGUCAUUCUGGAGUAUGGGGGUGGAGGGAGAUAUCAGCUCCAUCUGUUUCUCCACCAUGGAGGACCUUGCAAGGUUGGGUUGUAGCCUUCCUCAUGCUUAGAGUAAUCCGAUGGAUAGACUGCAAGUAUAACCAAACUUGGAUUCAGUUUACUAUAUUUAAAAGAUCCUUGAGAGAUAAAGGUGGUCUAUAAAUGUAAUAAACACAAAUAAAUAAAAUAAAAUAAAAUAAAAUAAAAUAAUAAAAUAAAAUAGUAGAUAAUAACCAUCAUGACUAGCAGGAGAUGGUGUGGCAAUGAUGAUCAUGUUCAGCUGGAGUAGCCAAAGUAUACAAAUGUUGCCAUUAUAAAAUAAUGUCUUAAUGUUUCACUCUAUCUUUCAGUCUACAAAUGUUUUAGUGAUAACUGUAGUUAAUCAACGGUUACUUAAUAUAAGUAUUCUGCCCUGUACAUUCUCAUCACGUAUCUUCUUCUUCUUCUUCUUCUUCUUCUUCUUCUUCUUCUUCUUCUUCUUCUUCUUCUUCCUGCAGGAUGUCCCAUUGAGGCUUAUUUGGAUUUCAAUGGCUGCCUGCUUAAUUAGUGUACAAUAUGGAUACAAUAUGUGGUUACUCUACACCCCUUUUGUGGUAAGAUAGCCCUGUGUUUCAUGUGGCUUCUUAAAGCAGGGGUUAUUGUUGGCCUGGGAGACCUUUUCUCUGUUGAGCAUCACAUUUCUUCUGGGAUACAUUGACAGGGAACAUAGGCUGGCACAGGUGUAGCCAGAUCCCAAAGUAGGUAGGACACUGCUGUAAAUCAAUCUCUCUCUCUCUCUCUCUCUCUCUCUCUCUCUCUCUCUCACACACACACACACACACACAGACAGAGAGAGAGAGAGAGACUCAUACACGCUUCCUUCUUAGGUUUUCCAAAAAGAAAAGAGAGGGUAUAGUCAUAGUCAAUUUCCCAAUGCAUCCUGUUUUAAAAGCCAGUAUAUGACAAGCUACUGCUCAGUAAAUAAAAGUAGAAUAUAGAAGGCAAAAAGGAGAGUGCUCCUUGCUCUUUGAGUCUAGAUAUUUUAAAAAGGGACAUAUUUUCCUAUUUUCACUUGUGAAAGUGUGGACAAAACUUUUGUGAUAUCUCCUAGCAGGGGUGUCAACUUGAAUACAAUAUGGUGUGGCAGGUAAGUCCCAUCCCACAUAAUGGAUCACAAGAUGCAGUGCACACACACUGUUUGAAUGGCAAUGCCUAUUAACUUGGGGAGGGGGUUCUGACCCCCUUAAAUAGUCUAUGGGAGAAGGGAAAGGGACCUCAGCCCCGAGGAGUUGGCCCCUAUGCCUUCUAGCUCUCAAUGUGAGUGGGAGAGACAUGCACACACUUUCUCUGGGCAUCCCAGAAUUGCCUGCAGAUCAUUGGCCAUCAUUCAGUUGGUCCCAGGCUCUCACAUUCUGCUGCCACAUGAUCUCAUGCCACAUGAGCAGUCCUAAUCUCAAGCAUUUAUUGUGCUUCUCCCUCAGCUCCUACAUGACUUGUUCAACAUAACAACCUUUGAAGAGAUGGAAGAUCCAGGUUCUCAGAUGUAUAUUGUGGCUAUCACCAUUGCUUUAUUUCCACUUGGAGCCAUUUUUGGGACCAUUCCUAUUGGUUUUCUGGCCAAUAGAUUUGGCAGGUAUCGAGAUGAAUUUGUGACUGCUGAACGACAAGGAGAGGGAGUGGCAGGGAGAGACACAGUGAGAUCCAUUUAGGUCCAUGGAAUCAUACCUGAAAACCUUUUGUCAGCUGAUAAAGCUUUGUUUGAAGGUAGUCAGAACAUGCCUACCAAUUGCAAGAUAAUCCCACCAAUGCGGUUUUGAUCAAUUUGGUUCUUAAGACAUCAUCUAACAUACACCAGCAGAUUUUCUAAUAUAGAGCUGAGAAAGAACCCAGAAGUUAGUGGUAGAACACAUGUUUACAUUCAGAAGAUCCCAUUUUCUCUCAUCAUCAUCCCUCAAUUAAGAGAUUUUAUCUAGCACAGCAGAAGGUUUCUAGCUCUGGUGGAAAUGUAUGAGCAAUGCCUCCUGAUAUUUAUUAAGAUAAAGAAAGUGUGUGAGUAAUUUUACAGUGCUUGGGUAUAGAAGUUUCAGGGCCAUCCAUGGGUCCUUGUUUCCUCCUAUUACUAGCAAACCCAGAACAAAUUAUCUAUAAAAGGAUUAGGAGAUUCCCCUAAUCCUAUAGCUCCUCUCCCCCCUUUGCUGCUUUCAUGGUAUCAUAUAUUGGCAUCUUCCCACCUCACCACCCCCUUCCACUGUCUUCUCAGGAGAGGAGCUAUGAAGAUAACGACCUUUUUGAGUCUGAUCCCUCCUGUCCUAUUGGCUGUUGGUGAUACCGUAGAUAUCCAUGAAUUCACAAUUGCUGUACGUUUCUAUACUGGGAUAUGCACAGGUGAGUCAAGGUCCCAGGUUUAGUAGUUUGGCGUAGAAUUCAUGUUGUUAGUUUGAGCCGAGCAGAGACACUGAGCAAUAGUUCGUUUCCACAACAGAGGGAGGGUGGGCUGCCAAAGAAUCAAGUAAAGCAGUAUCAGUGUGUCUCAUUUUCACAAACAUCUCCCUAACUGACUUUGGAAACCAGUAUUGUGGCUCAGAUAGGCCACCAAGGAUGGAGAAACUGGUAGAGGUGGCAUUGAAACUCUAUAGGACUGUGAGUUGGAAAAUGGAUUUUUGUAAAAUACCAAAAGAGGAAUCGCUGUGCAGAAUUAUUAUUAUUUAAAUAUAAGUAUGUGAUGUCCCAAGGCCUUGGGUUAAUUGGUAUACUAAUUAUUGUACCAACAAACAUACCACCAUGGAGGUUGUUUGACCGUAGUUUCCAUCCAUCGCAGCCAAUAGCUAUUCCAUGGCAACUAGACAGCGAAUUGUACAUGAACUGUAGUCCACUACUAUCAGUUUGGAUUGUCCUGCUACCUUAAUAGUGGCCAACACUAUUAGUUUGAAUUAAACGAUUUAAUGCCAUUUCUCAGAGAUAUACAAGCUCUGGGCAAGUUCCAACAAAAGAAUAUUCCCAAGUUGAGAGGCAGCUACUGAGAACACCAGUCCGUACGCCCUUGUGGGGGCCGGUUUGGUUCAGAGCUACACGUGGAUGGCGUUGCCAUAUCUAUGGUGUGAGAUGUGAAAUGUCGGUGACAUUUUGCAGAAUUCUACAAAAGAACAGCUUGGCAACAUGAGAUAUGACUUGCACGGCCUACUGGAGCCUCAGGGUUAUUCAUGCAUUUUGCACAUAUCACAUGUUCAUUGAGAUUUGUCUGCUUAUUUAUCAACUAACCAGGACUAAUCUCCAUUGUUGUUCCUCUGUAUCUUGGAGAGAUCGCCCCUGGAAGCGUGAGGGGAGCUAUCGUCAUGAUGCCCCAGCUAUUUUAUGCUUUGGGCAUCCUUGCGGGUCAGCUAAUUGUUUUUGAAGAAUUAUUUAAGAUGCGAGAAGGUAAUUAAGAUAAAUUAAUCCUUUGGCUUAUAUGAGAUCAGACACAUGGCCACAGUUUCUUCACAUUGUUGUCACUCUAUCUUCUUGCACAGGUUACGUGAUUGUGAUGGGCAUUUCUGGGGUCAUGCCAAUUUUUCAGAUCAUACUACUACCCUUCUUUCCUGAAAGUCCGAGGUAUCUGUUCAUUCAGAGGAAGAAUGCAGAGAGUGCAAGGGAAGGUACAAUACCCUGAAUUGUAUUGAGAUUUCUGGGUGUGAGCAUCAUACAUAGCCAUGAGAACCCAUCAGGCUGAAGAGUUGUUUUUUUCCAAGUUGAUGGAGUUGCAAACAGAUUUUUUUCUGGAAGCAGUUGACAUGGAAAUGUAUGCUAACCUUCUGCUAGAUAUCCAGAAGAGACCUUUAAGUUGUGGGAAGGGUCACAUAAAUUGUGGAAAUUAUCAGUUAAAUAAAUGCCUGGAAGUGGAAUAAAGUACUGUCUGAAUGCAGCCAAAUGUGCAAAAUGAUUGCUGACUCCUCCCCACUACUGCCUACUGGGUUCCCCCACUCUCCAAGUUUUAGUUUCAUUUGUAUGUGACUUCCAUUUUCUGAAAAAGCUCGGUUUUUUUGUGUGUUUUUUUGCUUUGAAUAGCUUCCUUAACUCCGUUCAUUGACCACAGUGGCAUCCCCUUGGCCCUGUUAGAUAUUAUUACCAAUCAGAGUUGUAUAUUCUAGCUGAACAUUUAUGCUGACCGUUUUAAAUAACUUCCGGAUAUUCUAAAUUGAUUUGACCCUCUGGACUUCCCCUUUCCCGCUUCCUUCUUAACAAUAUCCUCAUUCUUCUGAGACUCUUAUUCUACUGCAUUCAAAUCCUUUCUGCCUCUGUUCCCACACAGUACUGAAGGUGCUGAGAGGCAAGGAUGAUGUGGAGAAUGAAAUAGACGAACUCCAUCAGGAGGACCUCUUUGAGAAAGCAGAAAAGAACAUGACUGCUGUUAAACUGCUAUCAUCCCCAAACCUGAGAUUUCAGGUCAUCGCCACAGUUCUCUUGACGAGUGGUGCACAGCUUGAUGGCAUUGGUGCAGUAAGUAAGGCAAUGCCCCCCCCCCAAAAAAAAAUGUUUGGAGGUGGAGCCAGAUAAAUGAGGGCUCAUAAUGUUUAAUGGCUGUGGCACCAAUUAUCACUGCUUGUCUCUAGGCACAGCAGAUUAUUUCUACUCAGUGAACUACUCUGUGGGUUUUGUUGGGACUUCAAUGUCCAUCAGUCAUAGCUAGGAGCUGCUGUCCAAUAGCACCUGGAGAACCACAAGUUCUCCACCCAUGCACAAGUUAUAGUCAGGCUCUAGGAGAAAUAUGGUAUUGCCUGGGAGUAAAGGUUUGACUGCUACAGAGCACUAAGAUCAGUUUGGUUUAAACUUGAAUCAUGCAGUGGAAAAGAUUAUCACUGGGCUUUCUGAAAUUUUGAGUGUACUACAUUAUUUGUGUGCCAAGACUCAAUGACCUUGCAGUUCCUUAAGGGUGAUUAAUCAGACAAGACAACAGCAUAUGGUUUUAUGGGAUCAAAUAGGCCACAACUUUUACUGGUUACAGAUGUGGUUUGACAUAGGCAUUGGGUGAAACCAAACUAUAUCAUAUUAUAUCAUGCCAGCCCAACUGCUGGGAGUGCAUCUAAGGAGAAACCACCAUUAGGGGAAGACCUAUGACCUACAUCAAACAGGGGUAUCCCCCCCCGAGUUUGGUAUCCCCCCCCCCAAGUGUGGAGGAGUAGGAGUGGUAUGGCCCUACACCUCAUCUGGGCUUCAGACAGAAGCCACUCCACCUUGGCUUACCCAGAGUUCUCCUUAGCAUUUACAGUUGGGGCUGAGACAAGCUUCAACCCUUACAAGCAUCAACCAUUCACUGUAAGCAGUAACUGAGCUCUAAGUAGACCAAGAGCUUUAUAUGCCAACUUUCUAUGAUUGGGAUGUUGGAAAACUUGCCCCCUCGGGAGAGGCUGGCCCCUCUCCCAGGCUCCCGGGGUUUGUUUGCCGGUGAUCUACCCUGACUGACAUCCCCGCAGUCCAGGGAGAUCUUGAUAGGCAACAUCUCCCUGCGUAGAAGAUGCACACCCCCUUCUUCCUUGCAUACCAGCAGGAGAAAGAAGAUAGUCAGAAAGUCUAUUACAUCUCGUUUAUUUCUGACUGUACAAAAGAACAAAAAAACAUGUCCGUUCUCUCAGAAUCCACCAAGCAACAGACUGAGACUUCCUUUACACAAGCAACAGGAAGGUCUCAUAUUACACUGAGAACAAAUCCCUGUGAAUCCUGGGAACUGCCGUGUACAUCCUGUCCCACGGUCAGGCACAUCAUGUGAUGUAAACAUCGAGCUGCUUGUUUGCAGUUGCGUAGUACUCAUAUUCCAACAUGGGAAUCAUGCAAAUUCAGUUCAGUCUGUUUGAUUGAAGGAAACUCAACAUGAUGAUGUCAUGUAACAUAUUUCUCUUAAUUAACAUUCCUUGGUGAGGGUAGUUCAGGGGGAACAUUCCAAGAACAUCCCAUUAAGCCCUUUUUGCAAAGGAAGAAAACCAAGAGGCUCUACUGCUAGCAGGUGCUGUUUAAUUUCCCAACUAUUACAAUUUCUAUUUUUGUAGGGGGUUUUUAAAAUUAUUUUUUCACUCCUCUAACAUGUAAACAAACUGGCAGUAGACACAAAUUCAUCCCAUGACUUGUGAAUUGUCCUUCAAACUCUGAGGAAGAUUCUGGAAGUAGAGGUGGAAGGCAAGCUGAUGUGUGCUCCAUAUCUUACAUAUCCCUUCCUUGUGACUCAAUAAUAUUAAAUCUGGUGUAGGCAAAGAAAAUGGUGGCUGUGAGUCACAGGAGUUGUUAAAGAAUCCUGGCAAUCUGGGAGACAAUGCUAAAGUAAACACAUUCACUGUGUGUGUUCCACAUUCACUGAGGAAGUGAACAUCUAGAAUAAGGGCAGCUGAAACACAAGGUUAAAUGCAGGUCAUAAGAGCCCAAGAAGCAGACCAGUGGAAUAAUAGAAUAAUAAGAUCAAAUAAUUGUAGAGUUGGGGAUGAACCCGAAGGCAUCCGGUCCAGUCCCCUGCAAUGCAGGAAUCUCAACUAAAGCAUCCAUGGCUGAUGGCCAUCCAACCUCUGCUUAAAAACAACCAAGGAAGGAAAGCCCACAAGCUUCCAAAGGGAGACCAUUCCAUUGUUGAACAGCUGGCGUAGUCACAUAAGGUUUUGAGGUUGAACGGGCAAAGAUUGCACAAAUGUACUGUAGCUUUCUCUGGCUGGUGAGGAAGUGGGAACUGAGACAAGUCCUAUUUGGAACCCUAAUAGCAUUGUGAAAGCCAAUCAGGAGAUCUAUGAAUGUGGCAGCCAGACUGGUGACUGGGAGUGGCCCCCGAGACCAUAUUACACCCGUCCUUAAAGACCUACAUUGGCUCCCAGUACAUUUCCAAGCACAAUUCAAAGUGUUGGUGCUGACUUUUAAAGCCCUAAACAGCCUUGACCCAGUAUACCUGAAGGAGUGUCUCCACCCCCAUCGUUCAGCCUGAACACUGAGGUGCAGAGCCAAGUGACUUCUGGCGGUUCCCUCCCUACAAGAAGUGAGGUUACAGGGAACCAGGAAGAAGGCCUUCUCAGUAGUGGUAUCCACCCUGUGGAAUGCCCUCCCAUCAGAUGUCAAGGAAAUAAACAACUAUACAACUUUUAGAAGACAUCUGGAUGCAGUCCCCUUUAGGGAAGUUUUUAAUGUUUGAUAUUUUAUUCUGUUUUUAAUCUGUUAGGAGCAGCCCAGAGUGACUGGGGAAACCCAGCCAGAUGGGUGGGGUAUAAAUAAUAAGUUGUAGUAGUUGUAGUAGUUGUUGUUGUAGUAGUAGUAUUUGUUGUUGUUGUCAGAAAGUUCUUCCUGAUAUUUAGUUGGAAUCUUCUUUCUUCUAACUUGAAGCCAUUGGUUUGAGUCCUAUCCCCCAGAGCAGGAGAAAAGAAGCUUGUUCCCCCUUCCAUGUGACAGCCUUUGAGAUAAUUGAAGAUGGCUGUCAUAUCUUCUCUCAGUCUCAUCUUAUUCUGCCUAAACAUAUCCAACUCCUUCAACCAGUCAUCAUAAGGCUUGCUUUACAGACCCUUGAUCGUCUUAGUCGCCCUCCUCUCCACACGUUCCAGCUUGUAAUAUCCUUAUUAAGUUGUGAUUCCCAGACAAAUUACUCCAGAGACUCAGGUAGAUUGGUAAAGAGAAAGCUUUUUAUAUGCGUUGUAUAUGCAUUAUAAGCAAUGACAAACCUAGACAGCAUCUUAAAAAGCAGAGACAUCACCUUGCCAACAAAGGUCUGUAUAGUUAAAGCUAUGGUUUUCCCAGUAGUGGUGUAAGGAAGUGAGAGCUGGACCAUAAAGAAGGCUGGUCGCCGAAGAAUGGAUGCUUUUGAAUUAUGGUGCUGGAGGAGACUCUUGAGAGUCCCAUGGACUGCAAGAAGAUCAAACCUAUCCAUUCUGAAGGAAAUCAGUCCUGAGUGCUCACUGGAAGCUGAGGCUCCAAUACUUUGGCCACCUCAUGAGAAGAGAAGACUCCCUGGAAAAGACCCUGAUAUUGGGAAAGAUGGAGGGCACAAGGAGAAGGGGACGACAGAGGACAAGAUGGUUGGACAGUGUUCUCGAAGCUACCAGCAUGAGUUUGACCAAACUGUGGGAGUCAGUGGAAGACAGGAGUGCCUGGCGUGCUCUGGUCCAUGAGGUCACGAAGAGUCAGACACGACUAAAUGACUAAACAACAAAGUCCAGCAUCUUGUUCCCCACAUUGGCCAACCAGAUGCCUAAGGAAACCCUAAACAGGAUUCUUCGGUUCCUCAAUAUCUUGAGUCACCACCAGUUACUCCUUCGUUUCAUAUUAGACUAUUAUUUAGAUAUAAUCUGGAUGUCUGACAGUUGACAGUUAAGUCCAGUCGCAAACGACUAUAGGGUUGUGGUGCUCAUCUCGCUUUACUGGCCAAGGGAGCCGGCGUUUGUCCGCGUACAGCUGUCAGGUCAUGUGAGCAGCAUGACUAAGCCACUUAUGGUGAAACCAGAGCAGCGCUUAGAAACAUUGUUUACCUGCCCACCGGAGCGGUACCUAUUUAUCUACUUGCACUUUGACAUGCUUUCGAACUGCUAGGUUGGCAGGAGCUGGGACUGAACAAUGGGAGCUCACCCCGUUGCGGGGAUUCGAGCCACCAACCUUCUGAUUGGCAAGCCCUAGGCUCUGUGGUUUAGACCACAGCACCACCCGCGUCCCUUACCAUAUACAUACCACUGGUAUAUUUCUUUGGUUUUAACUUGGUUGUAUUAUGGAUUUUAAUAUGGUGGUAAGCCGUUCAAAGGCCCAAGUUAAUGGUUGGUAUGCUGAUAAUUUAAUAAUAUGCUGGAUCAGGCUGGUGGCCUACCAGAGAGCCAGUGUGGUGUAGUGGUUAAGAGCGAUAGACUCAUAAUCUGGUGAACUGGGUUCGUGUUUCUGCUCCUCCACAUGCAGCUGCUGGGUGACCUUGGCCUAGUCACACUUCUUGAAGUCUCUCAGCCCCACUCACCUCACAGAGUGUUUGUUGUGGGGGAGGAAGGGAAAGGAAAGGAAAGGAGUAGGGAAAGGUUGACCAAGACUAUUUUUUUUUAAAUGAUAUUUAUUAAGAAUUUUAGAAUUACAGAAAGAAGAACAAAAAAGAAGAAGAGAGAGAAAAAAACAAAAGAAAAACAAACCACAAUCGAACAAUACAAAUUAAUCAAAAUCAAAAAAAUAACACGACACAAUCAAAAGACAAAAAUAUACCACAAACAUUUAAAAACAAAUCCAAUAUUCUCAAAUCCUUAACUGUCAUUGCCUUCUUUCUUUGACCUCCUCACUCCUCCCUUUUUUUGUAUCCUAGUUGUUAAUUGUCACAGCAAAUCCUUUCCAUAUUUCAUAAUAUUCUGUCAUUACAUUACCUUAAUCUAUUUUAAUCUUAUCUUACUAUAAAAGACCUUAAAACUUAAAACUUAAAACUUAUUUAUACCAAUUUCUCCUAACCAUAAUAUUCUUACAUAAUUCUUUAAACAUUUUUGCUAAAGCCAAAUAAUUUCAUUCCAACAUUUUUCUAACAUUCAUCAAUUUUAUAAAACAAUCCUAAUAAAAUUUUUUUUUUCCUUCCAAUCUUCACCCAGUGUCUCUUCCUCCUGGUCCCGGGUUUUGUCAGUCCUUUCUAUCCCAUCAAUCUAGCGCAUUAACCUGGUAAUCUUAUGUCCAAGGCCCUUAAGUCCCUUCCAUGUCCCAUCCACUGUUCUUCUUCAUAUUUAUACCUGUACUUUACUUUGUCUCCUGCUCCUUUCACUUGUGGGAACUCCAACUUAACAGUGUUUUUGACCCUUCUCGACAAAUCAGCCCCUUUUCCAUAGUCCACACUAAACUCCAUGUGGUAUUUAAAAACAUGUUUCAAAGUCCCUCCAAAAUUAAGAGCCCCCACAACCCCAAACAUCUCACAGCCCAUUGCCAGACUUGAAAAGUCCAAACAUCCCUGAAAUGGGGGGUCUAUCCAACCCCCCAUUUCCAAACCAAACCAAACUUUAUCUUUCCAAAUCUGGCUUUUUCCAAGUUCAUUUGUCAAAUCCAAAAACUCAUGUUCCUGCUGGGCCACAGCUCCCUCCAUCUCUGGUGCCCAAGGUUCAGCAGCAUCCUCUUCCCUCAUCCGUUUUGUCAGAGCACACUCCUGAUUUGAUUCCUGGGUGGGCUCCAUAUAGUUUCCCACUACCUGUCCAAAAUUUCUGAUCGCAACAGUCAUCAAGUCCGUCUUCUCAUGUAGCUGUUCCAGUAGGGCACUUGUUUUACAGAAAGCACGCAGCAGAGCUUCUGAGUACAUUGUUCUGCAAGGUCAGACGUCUAUUCCCACGAUCGUAAUCUAUUGCAGCUGCAAGCUCCCUGGUUCAGAAUUGGUAACAGUUUCACAGGCUCCUCUAGGGAAGAGCUUCUAUUUGUUCUUUUCUUUUAAAGGCAGAUCUAACAACAAAGUUUCCUUUUUCAGAUAUUUUGUCAAUAUUUGUUCCUUUAAAAUGCGAAGGGGAACAAUGGAAUCACUAUGUUUCUCUUCUUUUAACUAUCUGUCAAAGACGCUUGUCUCUGGUCAGUGAGCUUCCCAAAGAACAUCAGUCCUGACACCCCGCUCCAGGAUCAAGACGGUGGAAAGUUACUUUGCAUUACACUCUCUUCUGCAGGUUUAAACAGUCCGGAAAAAAUCCCCCCUCUUCUCCUGCUUCUGAAGGGGGUUCAACAAUUUUAAAUGAUGAAAGUUAAUCCUUUACAAGCGAUUUUCUGAACUCUAGUUUGCCAUGUCUUUGCUUUAAUCUAUCUACAAGAAACGGAAGGCUGACUUCCUGUUUAGACCUUCCCGUUUCAUGCCAAAUUGAGGUAAAUUUCUUAGUCCAAUUUUCCUUUCUGCUCGCAAAUCAUUAUUUGAAGUCCAAUUGUCUGAAAUUUAAGUACUCACGGGUAGUUGUUUUAAAAGCCAAAUUGUCCCAGGAAAAAGGCAGCGCUCUCCGGCAAUGGCUGUGCGGCUUUGCUCCACGGAAGAAGCAGUUGACUCUCAGCACCGCGCCACUUCCCCCUCAUCACUCCGGAGCCCGUUAGUGGGUUCCUUUGCGGGUUGGGGGGGUGCUAAAGGUGCCUGCCGAGUCCCAUGGUCACAGGCUUCAUCCGCCUGUGAUUUUUGAAAGGGUCCCCGCUUCGCCGUAGCUGGAAAGACCCAUUUCCCGUGGAGCUGGUCCCUCCAGAUCAGAGGGAGUCCGCCAUUGCCGAUGGCGCCACCCCGGAAGUCUAAGGUUGACCAAGACUAGACUAUUGAUUAUUUUUUUUCUGAUUUCAGGUGCACUAUUAUUUAGAUAUAAUCUGGAUGUCUGCAGGGGGGCAAGAAAAAAUGCUCCCGUACCUUCGUAUGGUAUUAAUGGCUGCUGGCUUAAUCGCAAUCUUGAUCACGGUAAGCCUUUUCCACUUCUUUGUCUCUUUCCUUUUGAAUCUUAAAACUCACUGUUCUUCAAAGGAAAUAAAUUUAAGUUUCACAGUCUUCCCCCCCCCGUCCACAACAGCCCCAUGAAAAAUAAACAUUUUUUUAAUUAUAGUAUUAUGAGCGUUCUCUGAGCAUUCUUUGUCAGAGAACCAUAGUUAUUUAUACACAGUACCUGUAUUCUAGUAUGCAUUGGAAGUCAUCCAAAGGGGUGAAAAAUCAGCUUGAACAUUUUUUGUUUGCUUGUUUGUCUGUUUUUGCAUCAAAAAUAAUUUUGCUUAUUUGUUUCUUUCAUUUUGGAGGAUACAUUCCUAUUCACUAAGUGAAACACUUGUUUUCAUUCCAUUAGUGAAUAUAUGUGGAGGGGUAAUAAGAUAAAAAGUAUCCAGACAAUUGAAUUUCAAAUCUAGACUAACUGUAAGGAGAAGCCCCUACCUCAGAAGAACCAAAGUUCUCAAAAUUCCCUUAAGAAGUCCAGCUAAAUUUAAAUUAUCUAUGGUAAAGAAAUACCCUAUAAGCUGCAAUUCUAUACAACAGGGGAAACCAAUCUGUUGUUCUUCAGAUACUGCGACUUUUUGAACAACUGAACCUUAUUACUUAAUUUAUUUAUUACUGACUUACUGAGCUUUCUCUACACCUUUUCCUCAUCCUGCUGGCUGGAGCUGAUGGGAGUCCUUAAGAUUUAGAGAGUACCAUGUUGGCUAAAUGUGCAAACUCAAAGGCACACCAUGCUUCAAUAGCUGUUGUUUAUAUGUGGAUUCCUCCAUAAUGAAGGGUAUCUUCAUUCAGAUAUGACCGAGAACUAUCAUUCCUUAGGGACACGUAUUUUUAGUAGUUGCUGGUCUCAUCAGUCUACCUCACACAUGGCAGGAACACAGUUUGAAAUCAUUUACUACCACUACAAACUACAAAUGAUAAACAACAUUAUACAGCAUUACUUCAGCAUGAAAACACAACUAUCCUGUGUUAGAUGCCCACAGAAAACUUUUUAUUAUUGUUUCAGAAAGUCUGCUUUAUUUGAAAAUUUUGCUGAUUUUAUCUGUGCUCUGUUGAUCAUUAUUUUAUAUUUUUAAUGUACAGCAUUUAGAUAUUUAAAUUUUGAUUAAGAAUAAUAAUGUAAAUUAAAUUAAAUUAAAUACUACAAUAAUUUCACUUGUGCACUUGAUGAGAAUUGCUCAUAAAAAAUGUUCUCCAAGGCAGGAUUGUCCUGAGAAGUGUAGGAAUAAAAUACAACUGGUCCUUUUAAGUAUUUGGAGUUUUCCUCUGUUCCUUUUGUCUACUAUAGUUUUGCCCCUCGGUCCUGGUUUUGUGAUCAGUUUCUACCAGAGUCCAACCCACGCAGCAUAACACCACUGGCUUUUAAAAUUUUAUUAGCAUUUUUAUCCCACCCUUCUUCCAAGGAGCAUGGGGCAUUCUCAUUUUAUACUCCAAAGAAUCAAGUCUAACACUACUUACUACACACCUCAUCUGCUCUCAUAAUAGGAACAUUGAAAGAUUCUUGUUGGAGACUCUAGAUGAGAAAAAGGCCCAUCUAGUCCAGAAUCCUGUUCUCAGAGGGUGUGAGGUUAUGUUGAAAAAUAUCCCCCAAAUGCAUAAUUAGGUUACACAGUGGUACGUCCGGUUACAGACGCUUCAGGUAACAGACGUGUCAGGUUACAGACUCCGCUAACCCAGAAAUAGUACCUCGGGUUAAGAACUUUGCUUCAGGAUGAGAACAGAAAUUGCACGGCGGCAGUGGGAGGCCCCAUUAGCUAAAGAGGUACCUCAGGUUAAGAACGGACCUCCAGAACGAAUUAAGUUCUUAACCAGAGGUACCACUGUACAGCAUUAGCUUGCUUACACUGACACUAUCAAUGAACUCUUAAAAGGUUAGUUAGUCAGGACUUGCCUUUUGAGAAGCCACACUGAUAUAUUCAUCCAUAUGCUUCCUAAUAUUAGCUUUAAUAAUGCUUUCUACCAGUUUUACAGGAACCAAUAUAAGCUAACUUAUGUUGCAUUGUACUUUCCUGUAUCUCCUUUCCUCCUCUUUAUAUUCUGUAGAUGUGUAUUGCUGAUUCUAAGGGAUAUAGGUAUCUGCUUCUGAUUGGCUUUGCGAUGUGCAGCAUCGUCUGUGUUCUGUUAACCAUGGCCAUGGAAAUGCAGGUUUGUAAUUGAGAGUUGAGAAUCACCAAAUGGGCUGUCAUUUAGCCCCGUUCUCGCUCCCCCUAUAAUCCAUGCUAUGUAAUAGCAAUAAAGUUAAUGUGGAAGUUGGCUGUAUAUGCUGAUGGGUACAUCUGUAGAAGGAGAACUGAGCGAAAAGUUACUUCGGUUUAUACAAUUCAUUUGGAUUUUGUGCAAAGGCUUGAAGGGAAUGGCUGAGAAUGGACAUAGUCUCCCAUCUGCGAAAGUCAUAUGGAUGUUGCAAGAGAACUCAGAGAGAUGGAGAUCUUGGUGUGCUGCCUCACCUGCUGUUUUCAAUUGGCCAGCAAUUCUAUCCAAAGUGGUUGCUGUCCUAUUGAUGUUAGAGUCCAACUCCCAUCAGGCCUAACUAACAUGGAAAGUGGUGAGGGAUGAUGUGAACUGUAGUCUAGCAACAUUGACUACCCCGGCACUAGAUAAGGGGCACCUGUUAAUAUCACAUGUACAUAACUGAAAUGCAACCUACUUUCUCUAACAGGACACCAUUGACGAGAUGGCGUAUGUCAGCCUAUUUUUAGUCCACGUAUUUGUCAUAGCACACUCCGUUGGGCCAGGUAAUUGCUCACAUUGUGUACUGAUCUCCUUAAGUGAUAUGCAAGAUAUUAAUUGGAUAGAGGAAUAUUUGAGUUCUAUGGUGAAACGCUGAUCCAUGUCAUGAACCCUUUCUUUCCACCAAGGUCCACUUCCAAAUGUAAUUGUGGUGGCACUGUUCCUUCAGUCGUCACGGGCCUCAGCCUUUGUGAUUGCAGGAUUUGUGCAGUGGUUCACACACUUACUUAUGAUGAUGGUGUUCCUUCAGAUUGUGGUGAGUGAUAUUGAUAGUCAGCUUGAUGCAGGGAGCAAGGUUUGCGUCAGUGAGCUACAUUCAUCUCUGUUCCUCACCCUUAUCCACCCACCCAGCCCUCGGGUAAAACCCAAGAUAUGAAGCCAUAACCUCAAAUGGAUGGAUUUGUCAGCAUUCUUGUCUUGUGCUUUGUUCAAUGUGAAUGUUAAGGCAUCUUGAAGAUGUGCAUAUUUCCUAAUAAGGUUCAAACAAUCUGAACAAUAUUCAAAUGCCCAGUUGGCCAUGAAAACCACUGCUUAGCCUUGAGCAAAUUGCUCUUGCUUUCAGGAAAGGAGCCAUAGUUUUGUGUGCAGAAAGUCCCAGACCUGAUCUCUGGUAUCUCCUGGAAAAGACUUCUGUCUAAGGACCUGCUGCCAGGCAGUGUACUGAACUGGUUGGACAAGUUGUCUGACUCCGUACAAAGCAGUUUCAUGUGUUCAUCUUUGUCUGCUACCAGGUGGUCUGGGCCUUAACCAGGAACUGCUUUAGCCAAAGGGUCAGAGCUACUGUAGACUGUAUGUGCUCAAGCCCACUACAGAUAUGGAAGGGAAUAAGGAGUAUGUAACUUCAGCUUCUGUCAGUGGCAUAGCGUGGGUUGCUGGUGCCCAGGACGGGGCAAGUGUUGCAACUCCCUGAACUGGGCAUUGGUCAGUCUCUUUGCUGGCCAGUAUCUAAUCAAGGGAUCUAAUCAAUCUCUCCUUGCAAAGUAGUCCCAACUUGGGAGUAGAGAUAAGGCAGAGAAAUGCAAAGCCAAGAGCACCACUGUGUUGCCUUGCCCUCCUGUCCUUGGAAAAAGGUGUUCUGGGCAACAAACAUGGCUCCAUAAUUGCUUUCCCCCCUUCCUCUUCCUCCCUCCCUCCUUGGUGGGCUCACUAAAACCGCCCUUCCCCUCUCCUUCUCAGUCAGCCCAGGGGUGGGGCAUGUGGGGGUAUCCCUUCACCAGCCGUGAGGAGAAGAAGACGCUGCUGUCACCGUGCCCCAUAACCCCAGCCUGGGUGUGGCUUGCCUCCCCGCAGCUCCAGCCUCGAGGUGGGAGCCUUUUGUGGCAGCACCUGGUUGCUCUCCUUCAGAAAUUUGUGCCCAGGACCAUGCCCCCCUGCCCCCCACACUAUGCCACUGGCUGCUGGGAUUGGUAGAAUGUGUGAAGCCUCUGAGUUUACUGCUCUACAUAAGAAAUCUUCCAGCCUACUACAUACAUCUCAAUCCUCUGCUUCCAGUGGUUGAGUGGGUUGCAGGAUAUCAUCAAUCCUUGUGCUUGUGUACCCUAAGCUCAAAAGAACAGCUGCUGUUGGAGGAAGUAGCAAUAUACAGUCAUCACUUGGUUUCCCCACUCUCUAGCAGUAGUGAGACAAGCAAGCUGACCGCUGCUGCUACGACCCAUCUUACCUGUAGAAGGGCUCUUUUUGUAGAGCAUGAAGAAGUAGCCAGCAGUUCACCACUGAAAACUCCUCUGGUCAAAGCUAAAGGGUUUGGGGAUGGCUGUUUGUUGAAUCUAGUGGAGGAGAACAUCCUUGAGGAGGUGCUCAAUCUCAGGUAUAGGUGAGAUGAUCACAUUUAACAGUGACACUGAUAGCUCCUCCAAGCAAGACAGGAGCAGCAUUUUGGAUGGUGGCAUGGGCAGGGGCUCGUGGUUCGCCCCUGCAAUAUCCUCCAGCUUAUCCUAUGCCAGAAACUCAGACUGAGGAUAGAGAAUCAGAAGGAGCCUCAAUGCAGUGUCAGCAGAGUACCGUGUAGAACAUGUGGUUCCCAACCUUUUUUUGGCCAUGCCCCACCUAAGCAUCUCUAAAAUCCUGAUGCUCCCCCCCCCGACACAUUACUCUUAUUAUUCUAAAAGUGAACGCAUAUUCACGUGUUAAAAUAGUUAAUAACUAUUCACUGUUAAUAAUUCAUUCUAAAAUUGCCCCCCCUAAAAUUCAAAUUGCCUCCCUGUCGGGUGUGUGCCCCACGAUGGGAACUACGAGUCUAGAAGCACUUUGAGCUCCUGGGUGGGGGGAGGAUCCCAGAAUGAUAUGUGUGUGAAAUAUGGAUGAAUACAAUUCUCUAUUAUGCUCAAGUCUGUCCUUUUCAUUUCCAGGUAAAAAUUGGGACCUACAGCUUCCUUAUGUUCUUCCCUUUCUGUGGAGGCCUGUUUUUUUAUCUCUUCAAGAAUUUCCCAGAAACCAAGAAUAGGACCUUUGUGGAUAUUAGAAGAAUAGUAGCAGUCCAGAAGCUUAGGAAGUCCAACCUUAUGAAACUGACAGAAAAGUAGAAACUUGUGAAGCAACCCAUGCAGUUUAUUUAUUAAAUUGUGUUUAAUAAUGA